Molecule: unclassified non-coding RNA, 240 nt
Filed under: soil metagenome
Description: partial contains 5.8S ribosomal RNA, internal transcribed spacer 2, and large subunit ribosomal RNA
Source: RNAcentral
AACCUAGCACACCUGCGGUGUGUACCUGCGGAAGGAUCAUUAGAAAAUAGGAAAGUGGACCAAUACCUCUGACAAUGUCCGGUUGUGUACUCCUUGCCAACCGUUAGACCCCAUCUGCCUGCGCGCCAUGGGGGUACAAGCGCCGUCAGAGGCUACAUUGUUGGUCCAGAUUCUCCACACUCUGUGAACUGUGGCUUCGGCCCAAACUAUUAGUGUCUUGAAUGGUUGGCAUGAUAACAU